GCUUUCGUGGUGUAGUGGUCAGCACACUCGACGCGUAUUCAAGAGGUCCGUGGUUCGAGUCCCGGCGAGUGGCA
Stegodyphus mimosarum is the source of this 74-nucleotide non-coding RNA. NCBI's taxonomy places the organism in Eukaryota, Metazoa, Arthropoda, Arachnida, Araneae, Eresidae. The record is from Rfam.